UUAGCUUGGCAUUCAUAUACAGAAAAACUACACAAAAUUUAUACAAAAAAAUAGAAAACCAAAAAAAAGAUGAUGACUGUUCCAUUGGUGUAGAUAUAGUUUCAGCCAAGAUCUCUUGUUAUUUUGUUGUUUGGGUUUCAAUUUCGAGUUGUUUGAAUCAGAUUUCAAGGUUGUGGUAGUUGGUUGCUGUGUUUUAGUGGUUAGGGUGUAAUUUUGGGUUGGAUCUGCUGGUUCUUUCUUUAAAAACUGGGUUUGAGCAUCUCUGAGUCUUUUUCUUUCGUCUGGGCUGCUGUGUUUUCUGUUGCUGUUGGUUCUAGAUAAUUUAAAUCGGUGGUGACCUUCUUCCAUUCUCCCUGUUCUACUAAAUCGAGGUACACAUCUUGAGGCCUUGUUGAUGUAGCUUCAUCUUUGAAAUUGAAAUGAGAACGAGACUGUUAUUUGCUGUGAAAUGAAAUUUCUUAUUGUAUUUAAUUAAAUUUUCAAUGAGAUUCAGUAGUGGUUUGUUUGCUGUUUAUAUUGAAGUUACGGAUCGUAUGGACAUUGUAUGUAACUAGAACUGUUUUCUGCGAAAUGAAAUUUCUUGUUGUAUUUAAUUAAAUUUUUGUUGAGAUUCAGUAGUGGUUUGUUUGCUGUUUUUAUAUUGAAGUUAUGGAUCGUAUGGACAUUGUAUGUAACUAGAACUUUUUUGGAUUUUUUUUAAUUUGUUCAUUGGCAGUAGAAUCACUGAACUAGUUGGCUGUAAUAGGACAAAAACGAUUUUGGAAGCACAAGCCGUAUAUGUACUAAUCUAGAUUAGUACUAAAAUAUUAUUGUUCCUUAAUUAAAAUUAGGAAUCAAAUUGGGAUCACAUAGAAUUUGUUCUUAAGCCCUGCUAACUAGAACUUGUGGUAUUUUUUUUAUCUGGUAAUCCCGUAUUAAAUUCAAAUCAAUAAUCACCAUUACAUAGUUUAGUCAUUUCACACUGGACGCUUAGUAUCUGCUAGCAUAAUUGAUUCAAGUCAUUUGGAAUAAAUAUUUGCUUCUAUAUUGAUUUAUGUGUUAAUGAAAAUAGAAUCCCGGUGGGGAAUUAGCCAUCGAUAUCGGCUAGGAAAUUUGCAGCCUCCAUAUACGCUUGGUGUGGGGAAUUAGCCAUCGAGAUCAGCUUGGAAAUUUGCAGACUCGAUAUACGCUUGGGCUAUAAACCAUGGCCCAAAUUGUGGUUGGAAACUAAUUGAAGCCGUGAGAUUUCGAAUGAAAUAUUGUACAGUUUGGGUCUCAAGAUCUCUGAAAUAUAGACUCAGGUCCAAUGUUAUUUCUUACUUGGCUUGCCACAGUUCAAUGACAAACUAAAUAGGCCCUCGUUCUUUCUUACUAGAGACAAAACCAAAGAUAGAUAAUGUAAUUGCUUUUAGAUUGGCCCUUUUAAUAAAAUAACGAGAUGAGCCUCGCCAAACCAAACAAUUGCGGGGCCCUCGGUGUUGAUUAUAUAAAAUAUUUAGAACUCGGGAGGGCCGUUUAGCGAAAUUCAUGGCCUUCCCCAAACAUUAUUACGCUAGAACCCUUAAGCGCGACUUAAUUAAAUUACUUUCUUAAACUCGGGCGCGUAUUGAUGCGACCCAAAUCCAAAUCUCGACGAAAAUAAAACGUGUCGAAGAUCACGUGUACAUUGGUGGUGACGUGAUUAGAAAUACUUUUUCACGACGUCGCAAGUCUUUUAAAAUAAAUAUUGGUAAAAGAGGUUUAUAAAUAAAGCAUAAGUUAGCAUGUAUUAAAAUCAGAUAAAAUCAAAUAUAACAGUCAAGCGACCGUGCUAGAACCACGGAACCCGGGAAUGCCUAACACAUUCUCCCGGGUUAACAGAAUUCCUUACUCACAUUUCUUGUUCGCUGACUGUAACACAGAGUCAAUCUUUUUCUCGGUUCGGGAUUCAAAUUGGUGACUUGGGACACCAUAAAUAUCCCAAGUGGUGACUUCGAAUAAUUAAUAACCAAAUCCCGUUCCGAUUGUCCUUUAAUUGGAAAAACUCAUUUAAGCUCCCUUUGUGGGGGUGUAUAGCGAAAAAAAAAGGUGUGACAUCACUAUCUUGUAUCACCCCGGGAAGGCCAACAUGGUGGCUAAUGCUUUCAGUAGGAAGUCGGUUAGUAUGGGUAGCCUUUCAUAUAUUCCAAUCAGUGAGAGACCACUUGCGUUGGAUGUUUAGGCGUUGGCAAAUUAUCUCAUGAGGCUUGAUGUUUUUGAGCCCAGCCAUGUUCAAGCUUGUACAGUAGCUUGAUCUUCUUUGUUUGAGCAUAUUAGAGAUUGGCGGUAUCAUAAUCCUCGUUUUCUUGUCCUUAAGGACACACUGCAGCACGAAGAUGCCAAGCAGGUUACAGUUGGAGAUGAUGGAGUUCUUAGGAUGCAUGGUCGUGUUUUUGUGCCUAAUAUGGAUGGGCUUUCUGAGUUGAUUUUAGAGGAGGCCUAUAGUUCUCGACGUUCUAUUAAUCCGGGCACCGCUAAGAUCUAUCAAGACUUGCGGCAACAUUAUUAGUGGAGGAGGAUGAAGAAGGAUAUUAUUGCAUAUGUAGCUCGAUAUUUGAAUUAUCAAAAAGUAAAGUACAAGCAUCAAAGACUUGGUGGUUUUCUCCAAAAUAUUGAGAUUUCUUAGUGGAAGUGGGAGCGUAUCACUAUGGAUUUUGUUGUUGGAUUCCCACAGACUCAGAAGAAGUUCGAUGUUGUAUGGGUUAUUGUGGAUAGGCUGACCAAGUCAACACAUUUCAUUACUGUGGUAGUUCUUUAUUCUUCGGAGCAGUUGGUAGAUAUCUAUAUCUGUGAGAUCGUUCGUCUUCAUGGUGUGCCCGUGUCUAACAUUUAUGAUCGAGGUACGUAGUUUACCUCACAUUUCUUGAGGGCAAUACAUCAUGAUUUAUGUACGCGGGUUGAGUUGAGCAUAACAUUUCAUCCUCGGAGGGAUGGGAAAUCCGAGCAUACUAUUCAGAUUUUGGAGGAUAUGCUUGGCGCUUGUGUUAUUGACAUUGGUGGUUCUUGGGAUCAGUUUUUGCCGUUAGAAGAGUUGGCCAACAACAAAAACUAUCAGUCGAGCAUCCAGAUGGCUCCCUAUGAGGCAUUAUAUGGUAGACGGUGUCGAUCGCCAGUUUGGUAGUUUGAGCCGGGAAAGGCUUGGUUAUUUGGUUAGACUUAGUGCAUGAUGCCUUUGAUAGGUUAAGAUCAUUUAGGAUAGACUUCGUACAGAUCAGUCCAAGAAAAAGAGUUAUGCCAACCGUAAGGUUCGUGGUAUGGCAUUCAUGGCGGAGAGAGGGUGUUGCUCCGGGUGUCACCCAUGAAGGGUGUGAUGCGGUUUGGGAGAAGGGCAAGCUAAGCCCAAGGUUCAUCGAGCCUUUUGAGAUUCUUGGUCUAGUGGACAGGUGUCUUACUAACUUGCAUUGCAACCAUGCUUAUCAGCGGUACAUCCAGUAAUUCAUGUGUCUAUGCUUCGGAAGUAUCACGGCGAUCCGUCCCACGUGUUAGAUUUCAGCACUGUCCAGUUGGAUAAGGAUUUGACUUACGAGGAGGAGCCGGAAGCUAUUCUAGACCGGCAGGUUCAUCAGUUGAGAUUGAAGAGUUAUGCUUUGGUUCGUGCGUAGUAGAGAGGUCAGCCUGUUGAGGCAGCUACCUGGGAAUCUGAGUCCUAUAUGCGGAUCAGGAUCCCUAUCUUUUCCCUAGCUAUGGGACUUUUCUACGCCCAUUCAAGGACGAAAGGAUUGUUUUAAAGGUGGAAAAUGUGAUGAUCCAAAAGGUCAUCUUCUAUUUUAGAACUCGAUUCCGUGCUUCGAGGCCUUAAAACCUUAUUUUAUCUCUUCUCGGUCUGCGUGUGCAGUCCGGGCGUAUUUAAAGAAAGCCUUUAUGUGAAAAUUUAAGAAAUAAUAAUUUUUGACUUUAAAAUUUUAUUUUAAUUGACUUAAGUUGAUUUUAAAUUGACUUCGAUUAAUAUUCUAAGCAAGCAAACCCGGACCUGUAUUUUGACAGUCCUAAAGGGUCCAUAGUAAUAUAUGGGACCUAAGCGUAUACCCAAAAUCGAAUUCCGAGGUCCCUGCCCGAGAAAUGAUUUUUUGAUAAGAACUGUUAAACUGAAAUUUUAAUGGUUUUGAGAAAUUGGUUAAUGUUUGAUCUCGUUAGUAUCGGGCUCAUAUUUUUGUUCCAGAACUCGAUACAGGUUUAAUUUGAUAUUUAAGUCAUGUAUGUGAAAUUUGGCGAAAAAUGGAUUUCAUUUGACGUGAUUCGGAUAUUUGGUUGAGAAAAUAGAAGUUUUAGAACAAUCUUGAAAAUUUCAUGUUUUUGGCGUUAAAUUCGUAGUUCUACCCUUCUAGGCGUUAUUUUGGCAACUUGAUCGUGCAAACAAGUUUGUAUGUUGUUUUAAGACUUGCGUGCAUAUUUGGUAUGGAGCCCCGAGGGCUCGAGUGAGUUUUGGAUAGGCUACGUGGUGAUUUGGACUUAAGGAAUUUUGCUGGUAUGCUUUAGGUGUUCAACAUCGCAUUUGCGAAGAUAUUUCACAUUUGCAAUCAGAAGGGCUGGGAGGGAACCUUCGCAAUUGCGAAGCUCAUGAUCGCAAUAGCGAUAUGAACAAUCCACAUUUGCAAACAUUUGUUCGCCUUUGCGAUGCUAGAAGGCCAUUCUUCGGAUGAGAUUUUUCAUUCAUUCUCUCGUUUUUCAAAGCCUAAACCUCAAGAGGAGAUUUUUCGAAGACUAUUUCUUCCCCAAAUCAUAGGUAAAUGAUUCUUAACUUAUUUUUUUCAAUCUAUUAAAUCCUUUUAAAAGAUUUCAUCCUAGAAUCGAGGGUUUUUCAUGGUGGAAUUAGGUGUUUUUCGAUAGAACUUAGGGAUUUCAAAAUUUGGGGAUUUAACCUCAAAUUAAGGUCAGAUUUCAAAAUUAAUUAUAUAUUCGAGCUCGGUGGUGAAAGGGUAAUCCGAUUUUGGUUAGAAUUUUGGGUUUUGACCAAGUGGGUCCGGGGUUGGGUUUUGACUUUUUGGAAAAAAUGUUCAUGCAUUGGAAUUGAUUUCUUUAGCUUUAAUUGAUGUUAUUAAGUUAAUUAUGACUAGAUACGAGUGGAUUAGAACUGGAAACUAGAGGAAAACAAUAAUUGAUCUUUGAAUUGUCCGUUGGAUUGAGAUAAGUGUUUGAUCUAACUUUGACACGAGGGAUUAGGGAUCCCCGACUUAUGUGCUAUGUGAAAUUCCAUGUGCGCUAUAGGUGUGGUGACGAGAACCUAUGCAUCAUCAAAUUAUCUAUUUAGCAUGUUCCCAUCGCUGUUCCUAAAAUAUUUUUUUCCUAUCUUAACUACGACAUGCUUAUUGAUGCAUCAUAUCUAAUUGUUUCUUGAUAGAUGUUUUUUUCUUUAUUGAAGGUAUUAAUUGUCUGUAGUUCCAUUAUAUUACAUUAUUGGUGUUUCUUGAUACAUGUUGGUUGGUCUUAUUGUGUAGUAAUAAUCGAUGAGAUUAUUUGUAUAGAUUUCCGUUUGGUUUGAUUUGAGGUAUAAAUAUUCUGGAGGAUUUGAGCUAAACUAUGAAAUAUUUGUUCUUAUUGUGUGGUUGGUAUUGAUAUGGUAGGAUCUAGUUCCACGCUGCAACAGGAGGAAUAAUGGUGAAAUGUGAUUGUCUGAUGGGAUCGGGUUACGCGUCGCAACAAGGAGUAAUAAGGGGAUGUAGUAUUGGGUUUCAUGACGCAACAUGAGGAAUAAGGGUGAUAUAUAUUAGGAGAAUAAGGGUGGACUGGUGGGAGCGAGUUUCACACCACAAUAAGGAGUAAUAAGGGUGACUGUUCAUAUCGUUACUGAUUAUAUUGUGGGAUUGAGAUGCACGCCGCAUCAUUUGUCAUUUAUGUAUUCUUCUUUUGUUGUGAUUUACUCCUGUAGUAUUGCAACUCUCUUAAGGAUUGGUUAUAGCUGAGUAAUGGCAAGAUGUUUGGGUUCCGUAUAAUUGCAAGUUACUGUUCCAAUUCGUUCCGUAUUUCCUUUUUGCUCAAUUAUGUAUUGUUGGAGGUUAUAUUGUUUAUGUCCCGCCUUUAGCCUUGUCACUACCUUAUCGAGGUUAGGCUCGAGACUUACUAGUACAUGGGGUCAGUUUUUCUGAUAAUGCACUCUGCAGUUUUUGUGCAGGGAGCUGGUCGUGGCUGAUCGAGAGGUCAGUUGCAAGCAUUCACCUAGGAGACCCAAGGUAGUCUUGUAGGCAUCCACAGGUCCUGGCGUCC
RNAcentral lists this long non-coding RNA (6198 nucleotides) under Nicotiana benthamiana. RNAcentral's name for it is "long non-coding RNA (NBEN_LNC032502)". Lineage: Eukaryota; Viridiplantae; Streptophyta; Magnoliopsida; Solanales; Solanaceae. The record is from RNAcentral.